Molecule: long non-coding RNA, 1807 nt
Filed under: Homo sapiens (human)
Lineage: Eukaryota; Metazoa; Chordata; Mammalia; Primates; Hominidae
Description: long non-coding RNA NONHSAT154764
Source: RNAcentral
CUCAAAAAACAAAUAAAUAAAAUCAGAACGAAAAAAUAUAAUAAUCACAAGUACAUAAGAACAAAUUCAUAUACUUUUUAAUUUUAUUUUUAAUGAAGAAAGGAGCCCACAAAGACAAAAAUACCCUCAGCAUUUCCAGGCACCACAAGAGUCACAAUGAGGCCCUAGUAAGGACACCAAUCCAGUUGAAGUUCAUGUAUUCAUACUGAGUACUCCUGGAAAUUUUCAUAUUUUAAAUUUAUAUAUUGCGCAAGACUUAGUCUUUGAUUUUCUAGUUUUUUCUAUUUAUACUAACACCUCAGAGACCUAAUACAUUUCAUGGCCUUUGUUUACUGUCUCUAUCGUAAUGACUUCCAAGUCCCUCUCUUCUCUAUUCUUGUGUUGGAGUUCUAAUUUUGUACUUCUAAGUACCUGUUGGGUAUUUCCACCUGUGUAUCUCAUCGCUGGCUCAGCCGACAAACACAUCACUGAGCUCACCAUCUUCCCCUGCUCUUCGGUUUUCUCUCUUCAAUUUUCCUGUCUAUUAGAGUUCCUGCUAACUCUGUAGUCAUUAAUGAACCAACCACAAGCUUGUCUCCUUCUUCAUCCCCUUAUCUGAGGACCUGAUUGAGCCUCUGGUCCCAUGCCCACUGCCAUCCCUAUUGAAGUCUCACUGCCAGUCCCUCAGCCAAGCAUCCUUACUUCUCAUCGAGUUCCACAUGCAGACUCCUGACUGACUUCUCUGCAUUCCAGCUUCCUUGUGCGAUACAUUCCUGACCCUCCCCGAAUUGAUCUUUGUACUGCUUUCAUCAUUUUCCUCCUCUGCUCCAUAAUUCCUCCGCACUUCAACCCAAACUCCUCACCCAGUUUAGAAAGCUCUGCUCACGUGGUUCCUCCCACUGUGGACAAUGCAUCUCCCAACACAUUAACACCCACCAGAGGUGAUGAUUAAGGAGUCCCUUCACUCACGAACUAGACUUGCUGUCUUAGUCUUUUGUGUCUGCUCUUUCUUUCAUUCAUUUACUCCAUUUUUGGGGUAACUACUCUGUCCCAGGCACAGACACCUUAAAUGGUCCUCUAUUACCUAUUCCAACCCUAUACAGCUUUCAAAGCUCAGGUCAACUUCCAAUCCAUGAAGCCCAGGUCUCCCUUCUAUCACAAGUCUUUUUCCUCUGAACUCCUGGGAAGCUUAGAGACAUUGUCAAACAUUUAGGACUUAAACAUGUGACAUGAGAUUUCCUGACUGUGUCACGCAUGCUCUCCAGUCUGACUUGUUUGAGUUUCUGCAAAGAUCUUUACAGAAGAUCUAUCUUCUUACCACUCAGCUGCAGCUGGCAUCGAGCCCUGGCUGGACUAGUCAUGCUAACCCCUUGGUUAUUAAUCAUCGCCAUGAUUUUUCAUGUGUUUACUAUAGUAUGAUCCAGGCGUUGACUAUACUGGGCACUUUAUGAGGUUGUUAUUAUCCUCCGUUUUUUACAGAUGAGGAAAGUGAGGCUCAGAGGGGUUAAGUGACUUCUCCAGUUUUACAUAGUUUGAAAGUGGCUGACUGAGAAUUUGAAUAUAGGUCCGACAUAAUUCAAAUAUUGUGCUCUUGACCACUUAACUAAAUUAACUCUACUUUCUGAUUGAUUCACAUAUGUUGAAAUCUACUCAUUCUCCUCCUAGUGUCAUUAUGUUUGUUUAUUCUCUCCUUUAUAUUUUUAAGGCCUGCUGGUCUAUCCUUUCCAGGAUCUACACUUAUGCUGGACCCACUAAGCUGUCCUAGAACAUCAUAGUAAAUGUUCACCAGAUAUUAAUUAUUUGAGUGAGAAUGGUUGUGAGCAUUGGG